UUCAAAGCUAUACGUGGAUUGAUCGAGCGAGUUGAUGCUGUUUGAAUUUUUCUUUUCGCAGCAGGUUUGCGGAUCAUAUUAAGCUAUUUUGGUGACCUCAAGAGUUGAUUCAGUGGGUGUUCUGACCCAGGCGAGAGGGCAUUUGACCCUUGGAUCGUCUUGGAUUGGUAGUAGAAGGUCUUUUGGAAGCCUAAUUUGAGCAGCUUUGGGGCUUCGUUGAGCCGAUUUUGGGACUUCCUUUGGACUGUUGGGAGCUUAGUAAUAGGUGGGUUUGACCUAACCAGAGCAAGUGAAGCUCUCCUAUGUUCUAUAUGUACUUAUAGAAUUAUCGCAUAGGUGCAUUUAGUGACUAUAAGAUUGAUAGAGAAUUUGGGAAUGUGUCAUCGUAUUGUUUGAUGCUUAAGUAGAAUGAAAUCUCUAUAAAGUAGAGAACACAUAUACACGAAGUAUCUACAUCUAUAUUCAAUUUAGUUGAAUGACUUAUGGACAAGUGUAGAAUACACUUAUAAAGUAGAGAAAAAUGAUAUUCUCGUGACUCUAAAAUAGAGAACCAUAACAUGCUUAUGAUCAUGUUGAUAGUGCCAUAGUAGUGAAAAGAUUCUAAUGCCAUGUAUAAUUUAGCAUUACUCUCACAUGUUUAUUAAUCUAGUAGAUACUAGUUGUUGUCAAUGUUGAUUAUAUUGAAAUUCCGAUCAAAGGAUCGAGAGCGAGAAUGUUGUGAA
Long non-coding RNA from Ananas comosus (pineapple), 722 nucleotides. RefSeq lists it as uncharacterized. NCBI's taxonomy places the organism in Eukaryota, Viridiplantae, Streptophyta, Magnoliopsida, Poales, Bromeliaceae. The record is from RefSeq and is a predicted model, not a curated record. The transcript is spliced from 3 exons.